RNAcentral lists this ribosomal RNA (2893 nucleotides) under Escherichia coli. RNAcentral's name for it is "bacterial LSU rRNA". It matches the Rfam family "Bacterial large subunit ribosomal RNA". Lineage: Bacteria; Pseudomonadati; Pseudomonadota; Gammaproteobacteria; Enterobacterales; Enterobacteriaceae. The record is from RNAcentral.
ACUAAGCGUACACGGUGGAUGCCCUGGCAGUCAGAGGCGAUGAAGGACGUGCUAAUCUGCGAUAAGCGUCGGUGAGGUGAUAUGAACCGUUAUAACCGGCGAUUUCCGAAUGGGGAAACCCAGUGUGAUUCGUCACACUAUCAUUAACUGAAUCCAUAGGUUAAUGAGGCGAACCGGGGGAACUGAAACAUCUAAGUACCCCGAGGAAAAGAAAUCAACCGAGAUUCCCCCAGUAGCGGCGAGCGAACGGGGAGGAGCCCAGAGCCUGAAUCAGUGUGUGUGUUAGUGGAAGCGUCUGGAAAGGCGUGCGAUACAGGGUGACAGCCCCGUACACAAAAAUGCACAUAUUGUGAGCUCGAUGAGUAGGGCGGGACACGUGGUAUCCUGUCUGAAUAUGGGGGGACCAUCCUCCAAGGCUAAAUACUCCUGACUGACCGAUAGUGAACCAGUACCGUGAGGGAAAGGCGAAAAGAACCCCGGCGAGGGGAGUGAAAAAGAACCUGAAACCGUGUACGUACAAGCAGUGGGAGCCUCUUAAUGGGGUGACUGCGUACCUUUUGUAUAAUGGGUCAGCGACUUAUAUUCUGUAGCAAGGUUAACCGAAUAGGGGAGCCGAAGGGAAACCGAGUCUUAACUGGGCGUUAAGUUGCAGGGUAUAGACCCGAAACCCGGUGAUCUAGCCAUGGGCAGGUUGAAGGUUGGGUAACACUAACUGGAGGACCGAACCGACUAAUGUUGAAAAAUUAGCGGAUGACUUGUGGCUGGGGGUGAAAGGCCAAUCAAACCGGGAGAUAGCUGGUUCUCCCCGAAAGCUAUUUAGGUAGCGCCUCGUGAAUUCAUCUCCGGGGGUAGAGCACUGUUUCGGCAAGGGGGUCAUCCCGACUUACCAACCCGAUGCAAACUGCGAAUACCGGAGAAUGUUAUCACGGGAGACACACGGCGGGUGCUAACGUCCGUCGUGAAGAGGGAAACAACCCAGACCGCCAGCUAAGGUCCCAAAGUCAUGGUUAAGUGGGAAACGAUGUGGGAAGGCCCAGACAGCCAGGAUGUUGGCUUAGAAGCAGCCAUCAUUUAAAGAAAGCGUAAUAGCUCACUGGUCGAGUCGGCCUGCGCGGAAGAUGUAACGGGGCUAAACCAUGCACCGAAGCUGCGGCAGCGACACUAUGUGUUGUUGGGUAGGGGAGCGUUCUGUAAGCCUGUGAAGGUGGCCUGUGAGGGUUGCUGGAGGUAUCAGAAGUGCGAAUGCUGACAUAAGUAACGAUAAAGCGGGUGAAAAACCCGCUCGCCGGAAGACCAAGGGUUCCUGUCCAACGUUAAUCGGGGCAGGGUGAGUCGACCCCUAAGGCGAGGCCGAAAGGCGUAGUCGAUGGGAAACAGGUUAAUAUUCCUGUACUUGGUGUUACUGCGAAGGGGGGACGGAGAAGGCUAUGUUGGCCGGGCGACGGUUGUCCCGGUUUAAGCGUGUAGGCUGGUUUUCCAGGCAAAUCCGGAAAAUCAAGGCUGAGGCGUGAUGACGAGGCACUACGGUGCUGAAGCGACAAAUGCCCUGCUUCCAGGAAAAGCCUCUAAGCAUCAGGUAACAUCAAAUCGUACCCCAAACCGACACAGGUGGUCAGGUAGAGAAUACCAAGGCGCUUGAGAGAACUCGGGUGAAGGAACUAGGCAAAAUGGUGCCGUAACUUCGGGAGAAGGCACGCUGAUAUGUAGGUGAAGCGACUUGCUCGUGGAGCUGAAAUCAGUCGAAGAUACCAGCUGGCUGCAACUGUUUAUUAAAAACACAGCACUGUGCAAACACGAAAGUGGACGUAUACGGUGUGACGCCUGCCCGGUGCCGGAAGGUUAAUUGAUGGGGUUAGCGGUAACGCGAAGCUCUUGAUCGAAGCCCCGGUAAACGGCGGCCGUAACUAUAACGGUCCUAAGGUAGCGAAAUUCCUUGUCGGGUAAGUUCCGACCUGCACGAAUGGCGUAAUGAUGGCCAGGCUGUCUCCACCCGAGACUCAGUGAAAUUGAACUCGCUGUGAAGAUGCAGUGUACCCGCGGCAAGACGGAAAGACCCCGUGAACCUUUACUAUAGCUUGACACUGAACAUUGAGCCUUGAUGUGUAGGAUAGGUGGGAGGCUUUGAAGUGUGGACGCCAGUCUGCAUGGAGCCGACCUUGAAAUACCACCCUUUAAUGUUUGAUGUUCUAACGUGGGCCCCUUACCGGGGUUGCGGACAGUGUCUGGUGGGUAGUUUGACUGGGGCGGUCUCCUCCUAAAGAGUAACGGAGGAGCACGAAGGUUGGCUAAUCCUGGUCGGACAUCAGGAGGUUAGUGCAAUGGCAUAAGCCAGCUUGACUGCGAGCGUGACGGCGCGAGCAGGUGCGAAAGCAGGUCAUAGUGAUCCGGUGGUUCUGAAUGGAAGGGCCAUCGCUCAACGGAUAAAAGGUACUCCGGGGAUAACAGGCUGAUACCGCCCAAGAGUUCAUAUCGACGGCGGUGUUUGGCACCUCGAUGUCGGCUCAUCACAUCCUGGGGCUGAAGUAGGUCCCAAGGGUAUGGCUGUUCGCCAUUUAAAGUGGUACGCGAGCUGGGUUUAGAACGUCGUGAGACAGUUCGGUCCCUAUCUGCCGUGGGCGCUGGAGAACUGAGGGGGGCUGCUCCUAGUACGAGAGGACCGGAGUGGACGCAUCACUGGUGUUCGGGUUGUCAUGCCAAUGGCACUGCCCGGUAGCUAAAUGCGGAAGAGAUAAGUGCUGAAAGCAUCUAAGCACGAAACUUGCCCCGAGAUGAGUUCUCCCUGACUCCUUGAGAGUCCUGAAGGAACGUUGAAGACGACGACGUUGAUAGGCCGGGUGUGUAAGCGCAGCGAUGCGUUGAGCUAACCGGUACUAAUGAACCGUGAGGCUUAACC